This 397-nucleotide ribosomal RNA is filed under the name Gammaproteobacteria bacterium. Its description in RNAcentral is "bacterial SSU rRNA". It matches the Rfam family "Bacterial small subunit ribosomal RNA", at positions 1 to 383 of the family's 1533-position model. Lineage: Bacteria; Pseudomonadati; Pseudomonadota; Gammaproteobacteria. The record is from RNAcentral.
CUACAUAUCAAACUUAAACUGAAGAGUUUGAUCAUGGCUCAGAUUGAACGCUGGCGGCAGGCCUAAUACAUGCAAGUCGGGCGGAAACGAUGGAGCUUGCUCCAGGCGUCGAGCGGCGGACGGGUGAGUAACGCGUAGGAAUCUGCCCAGUAGAGGGGGAUAGCCCGGGGAAACUCGGAUUAAUACCGCAUACGCCCUACGGGGGAAAGCAGGGGAUCUUCGGACCUUGCGCUAUUGGAUGAGCCUGCGUUGGAUUAGCUUGUUGGUGGGGUAAAGGCCUACCAAGGCGACGAUCCAUAGCUGGUCUGAGAGGAUGAUCAGCCACACUGGGACUGAGACACGGCCCAGACUCCUACGGGAGGCAGCAGUAGGGAAUAUUGGACAAUGGGGGCAACCC